Molecule: small RNA, 123 nt
Filed under: Arabidopsis thaliana (thale cress)
Lineage: Eukaryota; Viridiplantae; Streptophyta; Magnoliopsida; Brassicales; Brassicaceae
Description: ATSL054550
Source: RNAcentral
AAAAUUUAAAGUAAAAUUAAUUAUUUUGGAAAAAAGAUUUAAUGCUAAUGGCAUUAGAUUGUAAAUAAGUGUCAAGUAGAGGAUUUAUUUGCUAAAAUGGCUGCAAAAAUGUAUAUAUAAAUU